This is a non-coding RNA of Myotis lucifugus (little brown bat), 75 nucleotides long. The record is from Rfam. NCBI's taxonomy places the organism in Eukaryota, Metazoa, Chordata, Mammalia, Chiroptera, Vespertilionidae.
GGUGGUUCUCAGAUGAUGCACCCUGGAAUCAGGCUCCCUCCUCUCUGGUUCUGGGUGCAUCACCUGAAAACAGCA